RNAcentral lists this ribosomal RNA (467 nucleotides) under uncultured bacterium. RNAcentral describes it as "bacterial SSU rRNA". It matches the Rfam family "Bacterial small subunit ribosomal RNA", at positions 28 to 524 of the family's 1533-position model. The record is from RNAcentral.
GAUGAACGCUGGCGGCGUGCCUAACACAUGCAAGUCGAGCGAUUCUCUUCGGAGAAGAGCGGCGGACGGGUGAGUAACGCGUGGGUAACCUGCCCUGUACACACGGAUAACAUACCGAAAGGUAUGCUAAUACGAGAUAAUAUGCUUUAUCGCAUGGUAGAAGUAUCAAAGCUCCGGCGGUACAGGAUGGACCCGCGUCUGAUUAGCUAGUUGGUAAGGUAACGGCUUACCAAGGCGACGAUCAGUAGCCGACCUGAGAGGGUGAUCGGCCACAUUGGAACUGAGACACGGUCCAAACUCCUACGGGAGGCAGCAGUGGGGAAUAUUGCACAAUGGGCGAAAGCCUGAUGCAGCAACGCCGCGUGAGCGAUGAAGGCCUUCGGGUCGUAAAGCUCUGUCCUCAAGGAAGAUAAUGACGGUACUUGAGGAGGAAGCCCGGCUAGCUACGUGCCAGCAGCCGCGGUAAU